This 85-nucleotide transfer RNA is filed under the name Colwellia sp. Its description in RNAcentral is "tRNA-Leu". It matches the Rfam family "tRNA". Rfam says of the family: Transfer RNA (tRNA) molecules are approximately 80 nucleotides in length. Their secondary structure includes four short double-helical elements and three loops (D, anti-codon, and T loops). The record is from RNAcentral. RNAcentral also lists the same sequence under 8 other names. Lineage: Bacteria; Pseudomonadati; Pseudomonadota; Gammaproteobacteria; Alteromonadales; Colwelliaceae.
GCGGAAGUGGCGGAAUUGGUAGACGCGCUGGAUUUAGGUUCCAGUAUCGCAAGAUGUGAGAGUUCAAGUCUCUCCUUCCGCACCA